AUUGAUCUUCAUCUUCAAAAUUUUCAUUCUUGAACAUGAAGAUUGAUUAAACUUGAUGAUUGCUUAAGCUCAUCAAAUUAACACCCUGUUUCGAGAAAUACAAGGAAAUGGGAUUAUUGGAUUAACAAGCAUUAAAUAUUAAUGUUGUACUACUCUAUUUCAUGAUUUUAGUCUUUAGAUUCUCUUCAUGUGUGUAAUAAUAUUCAACGGGCGAAAGUCUUAUGCGAGAUUGUGGUACAUAGAACCAUUCAGACUACCAUCUGCCAAAAUUGCUACCCUCAGGUACGAAUGGAGCUAACAAUUCACGCAUGCGUGUUGAGUUUCAUUUUAUAAAUAUUGUACUCUGUUUUAUAAACUUAUUGUCAAUUUGACCCUCACAUAGAAAUGAAGUUGGAAGGGAUAGGUACAAGGAAUGAAGUGGAAUGGAUUGGAUUGCUUGCAGUGCAGAAAAAGCUGAAAGAUUAACCAGUGUUCCACAGCCAUCAUUGUAAAUAGAUAUCGAAACAGGUUUCUGAAACUUGUGCAGCAUAUUAUUUCAUGAUAUUGUAAUUAUAGUGUAUCUUGUUUCCAUUAUGUUGGACAAAUUGGUUAGUCUGUAUAAAAAAAUGAUUUGGAUUUUCCCAUCAGCUGCUUUUAUGAUUGUUAGAUAGAAAGUAGUAAUAAAAUAGGAAAGUGAGGGAUGGGAACAGAAACAGGAUAGUAAAACAAGGAUGGUUUGGAGGUUAGGUAAUGAAGAAGAAAAAUGGUGUUUGGCAAGAGAAAAAAUCAGAGAAAAAAAUGGCAGCCGACAGUGGAUGAUUUUAAGUUGAAAGUGUGGUGUGGGUUUACAAAAAUUGCACAAAAGUAUGAUUAUAAUCAUGGUAAUGGAGAUUCUUGUAGACGAAAUGAGCCAACCAUAUGUUUUGAAAAAGAAAAAUGGUGUUUGGCAAGAGAGAGAAUGAGAGAAAAAAAUUUGUUAAAUAGAUGAUGUCAUUUAUGACGUCGUGUGCUUAUGUGGCAUGUCACAUGGGCUACUAUAUUGACCUACAAUUUGAUUAAAGGUCAGCUCACAUUGACCGUUAAAAGUGGGCUGAUUUUUGAAAAAAUCGUAACGUUGAGGGUGUCAACCAAAAAAUAAAAAGGUUAAGGGCACAAAACCAAAAGCCCCAAACGUUGAGGGUUUUUUUUUUUUGCAAUUAUGCCUAGUCUUAAUCCUAUCUUAUUUAAUUAUUUACUCAAAUAUUCAAAUUAAAACAAACCAACUUGAAUUCAAUUAAAUACUUGCAUCUCUUUUAGCCAAAACCUCACUUUCUUUGCUUUUGUUCUCUUCCUUUCUCAUUCUCAUCGCAAUCUUUCACUUUUCUUCCAACUCUCUUUUCUUCUAAUUUCUUACUUCUUGCCUCUAAGAUGUUAUACAAACUCUUCUAGACCUGUACUUCAUCUUAUCUCUUUGAUGGCUAUGAAAAUUUUCAAGGUUUU
Molecule: long non-coding RNA, 1458 nt
Filed under: Gossypium raimondii (Peruvian cotton)
Lineage: Eukaryota; Viridiplantae; Streptophyta; Magnoliopsida; Malvales; Malvaceae
Description: long non-coding RNA (GRAI_LNC000057)
Source: RNAcentral